Molecule: ribosomal RNA, 473 nt
Filed under: uncultured bacterium
Lineage: Bacteria
Description: bacterial SSU rRNA
Rfam family: Bacterial small subunit ribosomal RNA
Source: RNAcentral
UGGGGAAUUGUUCACAAUGGGCGCAAGCCUGAUGACGCAACGCCGCGUGGGGGAUGAAGGUCUUCGGAUUGUAAACCCCUGUCGAAUGGGACGAAAGACUCGCGAGUUAAUACUUCGCGGGAGUGACGGUACCGUUAAAGGAAGCCACGGCUAACUCUGUGCCAGCAGCCGCGGUAAUACAGAGGUGGCAAGCGUUGUUCGGAAUUACUGGGCGUAAAGGGCGCGUAGGCGGCCUACUAAGUCAGACGUGAAAUCCCCCGGCUUAACCUGGGAACUGCGUCUGAUACUGGAAGGCUUGAGUAUGGGAGAGGGAUGUAGAAUUCCAGGUGUAGCGGUGAAAUGCGUAGAUAUCUGGAGGAAUACCGGUGGCGAAGGCGGCAUCCUGGACCAUUACUGACGCCGAGGCGCGAAAGCUAGGGGAGCAAACGGGAUUAGAUACCCAAGUAGUCCCUGAGCGGGCUGGCAAGGCGCAU